Molecule: non-coding RNA, 270 nt
Organism: Vicia faba (fava bean)
Lineage: Eukaryota; Viridiplantae; Streptophyta; Magnoliopsida; Fabales; Fabaceae
Source: the annotation of a GenBank genome assembly
AUGAUUGUUGAAUAUUCAGCUGCAGGGGAAUCGUGGUGUGAAGUGGCUGUGAUGAUAUGCAGAAGAUUGAAGGUUGAAGUUGCGGUGAUGGAGAUUCCUGAUGUUGUUGGAGGAGCUUGGAGGAGGUCAGGGUGUACGAAGAUGAAGUUGAAUGUAAGGGAUUGCUUGAUACAUAAGAAGCUUGGCGCAAGACUUGGGAUAGGGAGAAAGAAAAGCUCAAAACAAAGUCAUGGAAAUUAUUUGAAACAACGAAAUCGUGAUGGAAUUUAG